GGAGCGCUCACCGUGCCGGGUCCUGCCGCCGGCCCUCGGCGCUGCCCCGAGAAGGCGGGUUUGCCCCUCGGCCGGAGCCGGCCCAAGAGCUGCGGGCUGCGUUUAAAGCAGGUUGUGCUGCAGUAACCUAAACCGGCGGUUCUCAGCCCGAACCCCGGCGUUCCGUCCCUGCCAGCUGUGGUUUUGUCGGUACAAAGGCCCCUCCCGGUUCCCUCGGCUGGGGUUCCUCGUUCGGGAGAUGGCCGCGUGGAGCCGUUUGAGCCUGCAGGACGAGCGUAGUCCCUGCCGCGUAGUACAAGCGCAGUCGACGCUAAGGACGGAUGAGGCCACCGGUAAAGCCUUCGCCUGACCGGUAGAACGAAGUUGCUCAACUUCUGAGAACUUGAAUGGUGCAAGUUCCUGUGGGUGGGAACUCCCUCUGCUACAGCUGGCACAGUCCUGAGCGGAUUACCAGCAUAUUUCUACAGUAUAAAGAAUUAUCAGUUAAGGUAAUCAGUUAAAAUAAAACCAUUUUCUAAUGA
Long non-coding RNA from Grus americana (Whooping crane), 521 nucleotides. RefSeq lists it as uncharacterized. The record is from RefSeq and is a predicted model, not a curated record. Lineage: Eukaryota; Metazoa; Chordata; Aves; Gruiformes; Gruidae. The transcript has 2 exons.